RNAcentral lists this ribosomal RNA (515 nucleotides) under uncultured bacterium. Its description in RNAcentral is "partial 16S ribosomal RNA". It matches the Rfam family "Bacterial small subunit ribosomal RNA", at positions 28 to 523 of the family's 1533-position model. The record is from RNAcentral.
GAUGAACGCUGGCGGCGUGCCUAAUACAUGCAAGUCGAGCGAAUGGAUUGAGAGCUUGCUCUUAUGAAGUUAGCGGCGGACGGGUGAGUAACACGUGGGUAACCUGCCCAUAAGACUGGGAUAACUCCGGGAAACCGGGGCUAAUACCGGAUAACAUUUUGAACCGCAUGGUUCGAAAUUGAAAGGCGGCUUCGGCUGUCACUUAUGGAUGGACCCGCGUCGCAUUAGCUAGUUGGUGAGGUAACGGCUCACCAUGGCAACGAUGCGUAGCCGACCUGAGAGGGUGAUCGGCCACACUGGGACUGAGACACGGCCCAGACUCCUACGGGAGGCAGCAGUAGGGAAUCUUCCGCAAUAGACGAAAGUCUGACGGAGCAACGCCGCGUGAGUGAUGAAGGCUUUCGGGUCGUAAAACUCUGUCGUUAGGGAAGAACAAGUGCUAGUUGAAUAAGCUGGCACCUUGACGGUACCUAACCAGAAAGCCACGGCUAACUACGUGCCAGCCGCCGCGGUAA